RNAcentral lists this ribosomal RNA (301 nucleotides) under uncultured bacterium. RNAcentral describes it as "partial 16S ribosomal RNA". It matches the Rfam family "Bacterial small subunit ribosomal RNA", at positions 509 to 808 of the family's 1533-position model. The record is from RNAcentral.
CAGCCGCCGCGGUAAUACGAAGGGGGCUAGCGUUGUUCGGAUUUACUGGGCGUAAAGCGCACGUAGGCGGACUUUUAAGUCAGGGGUGAAAUCCCGGGGCUCAACCCCGGAACUGCCUUUGAUACUGGAAGUCUUGAGUAUGGUAGAGGUGAGUGGAAUUCCGAGUGUAGAGGUGAAAUUCGUAGAUAUUCGGAGGAACACCAGUGGCGAAGGCGGCUCACUGGACCAUUACUGACGCUGAGGUGCGAAAGCGUGGGAGCAAACAGGAUUAGAUACCCCUGUAGUCCCUGUCUCUUAUACA